Malus domestica (apple) is the source of this 1470-nucleotide non-coding RNA. Lineage: Eukaryota; Viridiplantae; Streptophyta; Magnoliopsida; Rosales; Rosaceae. The record is from RefSeq and is a predicted model, not a curated record.
CUGGAAAUAAGUAGAUAAACCUGAGCCAAGAGGCAGAAAGGUGCCGCCUUUUUUAUUCAUCGGUGUUUGAGCUGGAAGCGGUGCGAUUCUGCGACCUUUAAAACGGCACCGGUUGGCGGAAAACAUUCCCAUCCCAUAUUUUUCGCACCGACAGAAAAAUGGCUUUCGCUUCCGCGCUCGACACGCCCAAGGGGCUUCACUUUCUACCGUUACCGUCUUCAUCCCGCCACGAACGGUCACCCACCAAUCUUGUUCUGCCACGGCACUUCCCGACUCGGUUCUCGUCCACCAUCGCCUUGGCUCGCCGCCGGAACCACCGCGCCGAAGUGGCGCCCUCAAGAACGAAGAUAAAGAAGAGAAGUUUGGGGAAUAAGGAAGUGAAGGAGGUGGAGGAGGAGGAUGUGGAUGAGGAUGCGAUUGAUGCGCUGUUUAGGUUGCUGGAGGAGGAUCUCAAGAAUGACGACGCGUCAUUUGACGACGAGGAUUUAACGGAAGAAGAGCUUGCUAAGCUCGAGCAGGAAGUGGCAGAGGCACUGGGAGUUGACGGUGAUGAUGAUGACGAUGAGGAAGAGGAGGAGGAGGAGGUUGAAGACGAUGACGGUGUUGUUGAGAGCUAUGCCGAAGAAGAUGAGGAGGUGGAGGAGGAAGAGGAAGAGGAAACUCCGGUGAAGCUGAAGACUUGGCAGAUGCGGAGAUUGGCUGCUGCUUUGAAAGUUGGUCGGCGCAAAACAAGCAUAAAAACUCUUGCAGCUGAGCUUUGUCUUGACAGGGCUGUUGUUCUCGAAUUGCUUCGUGAGCCCCCUCCAAGUCUUUUGAUCAUGUGUGCUGCUUUGCCUGAUGAACCUGCGACAGUGGUAUCUGUGUCCCAACCAAAUUCUGUAGAAACUGUUGUGGAAACAACUGGAGAAACCAUGGUGGAAACGACUACAGAUUCUGUAGAGCUUGAAAGUGCAGCGAGGGUGCCCGUUCAUGCCAGACAACAAAAGUUUUCUGCUCAAAAGAGGCUGAAGAAAGCACAGGUUGAAACCCUUGAAGGCGUUUAUAGAAAAACAAAGCGGCCCACUAAUGCGAUGGUCAGCAGCAUAGUGCACGUGACAAACCUGCCCCGCAAAAGAGUUGUGAAAUGGUUUGAAGACAAACGUUCGGAGGAUAGCGUUCCUGACUCUCGGCAACCAUAUCAGCGGCCUAUCCCCAAUACUGUCUUGUGAACCAACGUGUAAAUCAGGUACUUCAAUGUUGUUUAUAAUGACAUCUGAUAGGGUUUUGUCCCACCUCCUUUUCGUUUUUGUGGCAUCUGUGUUAGCCUCGGCUAGCUCGGUGAAGAAGGGGUGGCGAAAGAAUUUGGAUUAGGAUCAGAUUAGCUCGGUUUGUGGUUUCGAUCACAUCCGAUGUACCCAAAAGGAAUAUGAGUUGAAUGAAUUAUUAUCGCCUUCGUUCGAAAUGAUUUUAUUUCAGAAAUAUUUGACUUCU